Molecule: ribosomal RNA, 848 nt
Filed under: uncultured archaeon
Lineage: Archaea
Description: bacterial SSU rRNA
Rfam family: Archaeal small subunit ribosomal RNA
Source: RNAcentral
GCUAUUGGAGUUCGAUUAAGCCAUGCGAGUCGAGAGUCUUAGGGACUCGGCGUACCGCUCAGUAACACGUGGGUAACCUGCCCUAUGCUGGGGAAUAACCUCGGGAAACUGAGAAUAAUGCCCCAUAGUCCACAAUGCCUGGAACGGUUUGUGGAUCAAAGCUCCGGCGGCAUAGGAUGGGCCUGCGGCGUAUCAGGUUGUAGGGGGUGUAACGUACCCUCUAGCCAUCAACGCGUACGGGUGUUGGGAGACAUAGCCCGGAGAUGGAUUCUGAGACACGAAUCCAGACCCUACGGGGUGCAGCAGGCGCGAAAACUUGGCAAUGCGAGAAAUCGUGACCAGGGAACUCCAAGUGGCUGGGGUAAGACCCAGUCUUUUCUUGACUCUUCAACGGUCUUGGAAUAAGGGGUGGGUAAGGACGGUGCCAGCCGCCGCGGUAAUACCGGCGCCUCAAGUGGUAGUCGAUUUUAUUGGGCCUAAAACGUCCGUAGCCUGUUUGGUACAUUCGUGGGUAAAUCAACCAGCUCAACUGGUUGAAUUCUGCGAGCACGGCCAGACUUGGGACCGGGAGAGGUGUGGGGUACGCUCAGGGUAGGGGUAAAAUCCUGUCAUCCUGAGCGGACCACCUGUUGCGAAGGCGCCACACUAGAACGGAUCCGACGGUCAGGGACGAAGCCUAGGGGCACGAACCGGAUUAGAUACCCGGGUAGUCCUAGGUGUAAACGCUGUGGACUUGGUGUUGGGGACUCUCCGAAAUUCCUCAGUGCCGAAGCGAAGGUGAUAAGUCCACUGCCUGGGGAGUACGGUCGCAAGGCUGAAACUUAAAGGAAUUGGCGGGGGAGCACCGC